This 81-nucleotide transfer RNA is filed under the name Gemmatimonadota bacterium. RNAcentral's name for it is "tRNA-Leu". It matches the Rfam family "tRNA". Rfam says of the family: Transfer RNA (tRNA) molecules are approximately 80 nucleotides in length. Their secondary structure includes four short double-helical elements and three loops (D, anti-codon, and T loops). Lineage: Bacteria; Pseudomonadati; Gemmatimonadota. The record is from RNAcentral.
GCGAACGUGGCGGAAUGGCAGACGCGCAGGACUUAGGAUCCUGUCCCGCAAGGGGUGCGGGUUCGACUCCCGCCGUUCGCA